RNAcentral lists this ribosomal RNA (482 nucleotides) under uncultured bacterium. RNAcentral describes it as "partial 16S ribosomal RNA". The record is from RNAcentral.
GUAGUUAGCCGGUGCUUUCUUGUACGGUACCGUCAUUAUCGUCCCGUACGACAGGAGUUUACAAUCCGAAAACCUUCUUCCUCCACGCGGCGUCGCUGCAUCAGGGUUUCCCCCAUUGUGCAAUAUCCCCCACUGCUGCCUCCCGUAGGAGUCUGGGCCGUGUCUCAGUUCCAGUGUGGCCGAUCAGCCUCUCAGCUCGGCUACCCAUCGCAGGCUUGGUGGGCCGUUACCUCACCAACUACCUAAUGGGACGCGAACCCCUCUUAAAGCGGAUUGCUCCUUUGACCUCAUCCCGAUGCCGGGUCGUGGUCUUAUGCGGUAUUAGCACUUGUUUCCAGGUGUUAUCCCCCUCUUUAAGGCAGGUUGUUCACGCGUUACUCACCCGUUCGCCACUCAGUACAAAACCGAAAUUCUGUACUCCGUUCGACUUGCAUGUGUUAGGCACGCCGCCAGCGUUCGUCCUGAGCCAGAUCAAACUCUGA